Molecule: long non-coding RNA, 584 nt
Organism: Carya illinoinensis
Lineage: Eukaryota; Viridiplantae; Streptophyta; Magnoliopsida; Fagales; Juglandaceae
Exons: 3
Source: RefSeq, a predicted model, not a curated record
AACAAACCUCUUGCUGCAUAUAUCAUUGCCAGCUCCUGAAAGCGAAGGUCAUAACAGAUGCCUAUACCAAUACGCCCAACAUCUGCAACAACAUCCAAUGGUUACAAAGGCCCAAGAAGGAAGGAGAGUUUCCUGAGAAACAGAUACGAGGCAAUGGAAAAGAUCAACAUCACAGGACCUAUGUUGACGUUGGAAGUAUCGAGGAGUAUCGAGGUAAUGACGAAAAAGUUGGGGAGCAUGGCAUUACUGCAAAGGGAGAAGUAGAUGUUUAAUGUCUUCCAUAUUGGUUCGACCUUACAUGAAUGAUGGAUUAUGUUUAUGGAUGUUAUUUUUAUGUUGGGAUGGGUCCCUUGUCAAGAUGUUUUGUCGUGUUUGACUUUAAACCAUGUAUCUUUUGGUAUGAUAUAACCGUUAUGGUAGGGUGAUGGUAAAACCCUAUAUACUGACUUAGUGUCUUCUUGUACAUAUGGUAGAGAUUGAGUCUCUUCCUAACUAGAACAGUUAUGUUUUUAUGAACGUAUGAUGGACUUUGAGAGUCUCUUACGGAUGAAUGUUUGAAUAGAAUGUCUAUCAGGUGUUCCUUU